CAUUAUUGAAAUAAACCUGAUGGGUUGCUGCUGGCUCUCUAAGGAGCAUGUGCACACUUGUCAUCUUUAUAUCUCCACCUGUGCACCUUUUGUAGAUCUGGAUAUCUUUCUGAAUGCCUGGCAUUCAGGUUUGAGGAUUGACUUUUGUCUUUCCUUACAUUUCCAGGCCUAUGUUUUCUUCAUAUACACCAUUUAUGUUAUAGAAUGUAAUGAAAAGGGCCUUUGUGCCUACAAACCUUAUACAACUUUCAGCAACGGAUCUCUUGGCUCUCGCAUCGAUGAAGAACGCAGCGAAAUGCGAUAAGUAAUGUGAAUUGCAGAAUUCAGUGAAUCAUCGAAUCUUUGAACGCACCUUGCGCUCCUUGGUAUUCCGAGGAGCAUGCCUGUUUGAGUGUCAUUAAUAUAUCAACCUCCUCAGGUUUUGACUUGUCGAGUGUUUGGAUGUGGGGGUCUUUUGCUGGUCUCUUUUGAGGUCGGCUCCCCUAAAAUGCAUUAGCGGAACAAUUUGUUGACCCGUUCAUUGGUGUGAUAACUAUCUACGCUUUUGACGUGAAACAGGUUCAGCUUCUAACAGUCCAUUGACUUGGACAAAUUUUCAUUAAUGUG
This 606-nucleotide ribosomal RNA is filed under the name uncultured fungus. RNAcentral's name for it is "eukaryotic LSU rRNA". The stretch from base 244 to 397 matches the Rfam family "5.8S ribosomal RNA". Lineage: Eukaryota; Fungi. The record is from RNAcentral.